Molecule: ribosomal RNA, 447 nt
Filed under: uncultured bacterium
Lineage: Bacteria
Description: partial 16S ribosomal RNA
Rfam family: Bacterial small subunit ribosomal RNA
Source: RNAcentral
AACGAACGCUGGCGGCAGGCCUAACACAUGCAAGUCGAACGCUCCGCAAGGGGAGUGGCGCACGGGUGAGUAACGCGUGGGAAUAUGCCCUUCGGUUCGGAAUAACACAGGGAAACUUGUGCUAAUACCGGAUACGACCUACGGAUGAAAGAUUUAUCGCGGAGGGAGUAGCCCGCGUAGGAUUAGCUAGUUGGUGAGGUAAUGGCUCACCAAGGCGACGAUCCUUAGCUGGUCUGAGAGGAUGAUCAGCCACACUGGGACUGAGACACGGCCCAGACGCCUACGUGAGUCAGCAGUGGGGAAUAUUGGACAAUGGGCGAACGCCUGAUCCUGCCAUGCCGCGUGAGUGAUGAAGGCCUUAGGGUUGUAAAGCUCUUUCGCCAGGGAAGAUAAUGACGGUACCUGGAAAAGAAGCCUCGGCUAACUCCGUGCCAGCCGCCGCAGUAA